UCCAUUGAGGCGAGCGCGUGCUCCGGCGAGCACAUGGGCAGCGGGGCCCGCGGCCGCUCCGCGUCCCUGCGCGCUGCUCCGCGGCCCCGGCCCCGGCCCGCAGCUCCCCUUCCCUGGCAGGGCGGCGCGGUCCCAGCCCCACGUUUCCCACCGGUCCAGAGUAACAUUUGGAGGAACCCGGCAGCAUGGUCCUUUCAGUAGCUCCCAAGGAUUUUUAGGAUCAUAGGAUGUGUGGAUGCCCAAAACCUUCUGGAGAAUGUUGGCUGUGGAUAAACGCAUCUGGAAGUUCCUACCGUCUUUUUACCCUGUUUUUUCCUGGGUCACCUUGUGUCAUUUGGGAAGGAAGCCUCUCUGUCCUGAGGAUUAUAACAAACUGGUCCUUUACUGGAAUACCUCCCCUUGUGUUUUCUCAAGAUGAAGCCAUUGCUUUACCCGGGAGAAGGAUACUUUUUUCUUCUUCCAGAGCUUUUCCAGUGCAGCAGGCCUCAUGUCCAACAGGUCCUGGUUGACUGUGAAAAGGAGAGAGGAGGAGAGUGUGGAAGGGAGGUCAGAUCCUGCCAGGGUUUCCUGGAAAGUGAGUGCCUCCAUGCCUUUACCUUCCUCUGCACAGAACUGCCCUGACCUUGGUGUCUCCCCAGGGUGUGUUUCCUGGGAAGCUUAAGGAUGUAACAAGAGGAGUUGAAGGCCAUCAUCCAGGCAUUGUCCAUGGGGGGGACCUGGGGGAAACUAACUGUGGUGGAGGCAGAGAACCUGGGAGAGCAUCUGGGCCAUUGGUGUCUCCUACAACGCAACAGGACUCAAGGGAAAGGCCCCAAAAUGCUGACAGGGAGGGACUGCAGGUGGUCUCCAGUGCUUACUGGGGGAGGACAGCCAGCACUUCCAGAGGUGGGGAUGUGCCCACCUCUUGAGGUGACCCUUCUCAACAUUGCACCACUUUGCUCAUAGGAAAGCUUGCCACAUGUCCUACAUGGCCACAACUUGUGGAUGUUGCCCUUUGCUACAUAGUCUCUCUCAGCUGAGAUGGGAUGGAUGUUGAAGGGAAGAAGCAGGGAGAGGUCUCCUUUGGGCCUAUUGCAGACAACAAGUGAUGACACUGGUGGGUAGUAAAUGCAUCUGCAGCACGUCCUGCAGAGGUUCCUCCUUUGGAGAGAUGUUGUCCUUGUGCAGAUGUUUUUCCUUAAUAGAUUUGACCCUUUUGAAGAAAACCAUGUUCUUUUUCUGAACUAUGAAAUAGUGUAUUGAAAACCAAUAUAGAGUAAAACGAGCUUAGGUCAAGAUGGAUUAAUUAUUAAAACUAGGGCAUAUUCUGCUAAUGCCCCAGUGCCCUGGGGGCAAUGUUUCUUAACCAUAACCCUGAGUCAUAACUGCCUACUUGAUUGCAACUUGUAACCAGACCAGUAUUGCCGUGGAGAGGAUGGCACACAGGCUGGAGCCAAGAGGCUUGAGAGCUCCAUGUUGACAGGGCUAGUUGGGUGCAUGGUGCCAAUGCACCUUCAUGGAAGGGAGGAUUAAAUAUUGGACAGAACAACACAUGAACCAAAAUGUCAAAUGGCUGCAUGUGUUGGGUUUGCAUUUUGUUUUCUUUUGUUUGUUUGCCUGACUUUGACAACUGGAUUCUCAAAAUAUGGGGACCUGAGAGGUCUUUAACAGCAAUAGGUGGAGCUCAGCUGUGGAAGAAAGGGUUAUGCUUGUGGGAGGGAGGGCUUAUUGCUCAAGCAGACACACUUGGAGUGGCUGGCUUGGAAUGAGAUGGGUGGUGGCUUUUGAUCUUGUCAUUCCUUGUGGUCAUGACAGGGAAAGCUGAUGUUCCUGCAAAUUGACUAUGCAUAGUGGCAUGUCAGGAAUA
This is a long non-coding RNA of Pezoporus occidentalis (night parrot), 1846 nucleotides long. RefSeq lists it as uncharacterized. The transcript is spliced from 4 exons. The record is from RefSeq and is a predicted model, not a curated record. Lineage: Eukaryota; Metazoa; Chordata; Aves; Psittaciformes; Psittacidae.